CGUCGCCAUUUUUAAAAUUUUGAAAUUUUAUUUGCUUUUCGAUUGAUGAUAAAUAAGAAUGGAAGAGUGUUCAUUUUGAUGCAACUGAAAAAAAAAGCAAGUUGACCGUCAUGGUUUCGUUUCAUUUUGGAGAAUCUUCUAAUUAAUUACGGAACAUUAAAAAAACCCUGGAUGGCAUUAAUUUACAGUGCCUUGGUUGUGUCAGUGUUCAUUCGAUUCAGAAAGUAGCUAUCCUAAAAAGAAGCACAAAAGUGCCUUUUUUCCAUUGAGAAGGGAUACAUUGUGGCAUUGAUGAAGGAAGGAUUUAUGACGAAU
Long non-coding RNA from Agrilus planipennis (emerald ash borer), 315 nucleotides. RefSeq lists it as uncharacterized. The transcript is spliced from 3 exons. The record is from RefSeq and is a predicted model, not a curated record. Lineage: Eukaryota; Metazoa; Arthropoda; Insecta; Coleoptera; Buprestidae.